This 253-nucleotide ribosomal RNA is filed under the name uncultured bacterium. RNAcentral describes it as "partial 16S ribosomal RNA". It matches the Rfam family "Bacterial small subunit ribosomal RNA", at positions 524 to 776 of the family's 1533-position model. RNAcentral also lists the same sequence under 2 other names. The record is from RNAcentral.
UACGUAGGGUGCAAGCGUUAAUCGGAAUUACUGGGCGUAAAGCGUGCGCAGGCGGUUUUGUAAGUCUGUCGUGAAAGCCCCGGGCUCAACCUGGGAAUUGCGAUGGAGACUGCAAGGCUUGAAUCUGGCAGAGGGGGGUAGAAUUCCACGUGUAGCAGUGAAAUGCGUAGAGAUGUGGAGGAACACCGAUGGCGAAGGCAGCCCCCUGGGUCAAGAUUGACGCUCAUGCACGAAAGCGUGGGGAGCAAACAGG